CGAAAGCCUGACGGAGCAAGACCGCGUGGGGGAGGAAGGUUCUUGGAUUGUAAACCCCUUUUCUCAGGGAAGAACACAAUGACGGUACCUGAGGAAUCAGCAUCGGCUAACUCCGUGCCAGCAGCCGCGGUAAUACGGAGGAUGCAAGCGUUAUCCGGAAUAAUUGGGCGUAAAGCGUCCGUAGGUGGCUGUUCAAGUCUGCCGUUAAAGACCGGGGCUUAACCCUGGAAAGGCGGUGGAAACUGAACGGCUAGAGUGCAGUAGGGGUAGAGGGAAUUCCCAGUGUAGCGGUGAAAUGCGUAGAGAUUGGGAAGAACACCGGUGGCGAAAGCGCUCUGCUGGACUGCAACUGACACUGAGGGACGAAAGCUAGGGGAGCG
RNAcentral lists this ribosomal RNA (380 nucleotides) under uncultured soil crust cyanobacterium. RNAcentral describes it as "bacterial SSU rRNA". It matches the Rfam family "Bacterial small subunit ribosomal RNA", at positions 376 to 770 of the family's 1533-position model. Lineage: Bacteria; Bacillati; Cyanobacteriota. The record is from RNAcentral.